RNAcentral lists this ribosomal RNA (437 nucleotides) under uncultured Rhodomicrobium sp. RNAcentral describes it as "bacterial SSU rRNA". It matches the Rfam family "Bacterial small subunit ribosomal RNA", at positions 8 to 489 of the family's 1533-position model. Lineage: Bacteria; Pseudomonadati; Pseudomonadota; Alphaproteobacteria; Hyphomicrobiales; Hyphomicrobiaceae. The record is from RNAcentral.
AGAGUUUGAUCCUGGCUCAGAACGAACGCUGGCGGCAGGCUUAACACAUGCAAGUCGAACGCGUGUAGCAAUACACGAGUGGCGCACGGGUGAGUAACGCGUGGAUAUCUGCCUUUUGGUUCGGAAUAACCCCGGGAAACUGGGGCUAAUACCGGAUGGUUCCUUCGGGAUAAAGAUUUAUCGCCAAAAGAUGAGUCCGCGUCCGAUUAGCUAGUUGGUGAGGUAAUGGCUCACCAAGGCGACGAUCGGUAGCUGGUCUGAGAGGACGAUCAGCCACACUGGGACUGAGACACGGCCCAGACUCCUACGGGAGGCAGCAGUGGGGAAUAUUGGACAAUGGGGGCAACCCUGAUCCAGCCAUGCCGCGUGAGUGAUGAAGGCCUUCGGGUUGUAAAGCUCUUUUGGCGGGGACGAUGAUGACGGUACCCGCAGAAUAG